RNAcentral lists this small RNA (29 nucleotides) under Bombyx mori (domestic silkworm). RNAcentral describes it as "ovarian small RNA-28149". The record is from RNAcentral. Lineage: Eukaryota; Metazoa; Arthropoda; Insecta; Lepidoptera; Bombycidae.
UCGAACAUUCCGAAUGGUGCAGUUAUCGC